RNAcentral lists this long non-coding RNA (808 nucleotides) under Mytilus galloprovincialis (Mediterranean mussel). Lineage: Eukaryota; Metazoa; Mollusca; Bivalvia; Mytilida; Mytilidae. The record is from RNAcentral.
CAAAAAGACUAUUCGAGUAAGUUCAAAAAAUUCUGAGGCUGGUGUAGUGAAAGGGAAAUUGAUCCCUAUUCUGCCUCUUUAACAGAAACCGCAGAUUUCUUACAAGUCUGUAUACCAGUGGUCUACAGUACAGUACGAUUGGGGCUAUGUUGUCAAGUGUUUUACCACCAGUCGAAAAACUACCAGUAGGUCAACACCCAUACAUUAUUCGCUUAUUGAAAGGUGUUUGCAGGCGUUCCAGUGAUAUGCAGGCCUUACGUUUGGGAGAUGGAAAUAUUUCUGUUCAUAACAGGGGAGUUUAUUUUAUUAGAGAAGGAUUGUCAAAACAAGACCGUCCUGGACAUUUUGUGCUAAGAUUCUUGUACCUGACUUUGAUGCAGAAUAGCUUCUUGACCCUAAAAGGGCAUGCACUUACUAUUUAAAGAGCACUAACAAUUUUCGUGGUGAGAACAGACAAGAUGCUAAAUUGUUUUAGCAAUUAGCAAUCCACAUUAGCCAAUUUCAAGUCAAACAAUUUCAUUAGGGAUUGUGAGUACCAUUCAGAUGGCAUAUAACGACAAAAAGAAAUCUGUUAAGGCUCAUUCGACAAGAGGUGCUGGUACUUCUUUGGCUCUUUAUAAAGGUGCAUCAAUGCAGAUCAUCAUGGAAGCUGCUGAUUGGAGCAGGGAAUCCACAUUCACCAAAUGUUACUUACGUCUCAUAGAUCCUCAUGUUUUAUCGAAAUGAAAAAAAAUUAAAAAAAAGUAGAAAAAUACAUUAAAUUCAAAAAAGGAGAAAAAUGUGUACAGUUUUUAACUUUUUAACUUAA